This 428-nucleotide ribosomal RNA is filed under the name uncultured bacterium. RNAcentral describes it as "partial 16S ribosomal RNA". It matches the Rfam family "Bacterial small subunit ribosomal RNA", at positions 354 to 796 of the family's 1533-position model. The record is from RNAcentral.
GUGGGGAAUAUUGGGCAAUGGGCGAAAGCCUGACCCAGCAACGCCGCGUGAGGGAAGAAGGCCUUCGGGUUGUAAACCUCUGUCCUUGGUGACGAAAAAAAUGACGGUAGCCAAGGAGGAAGCCCCGGCUAACUACGUGCCAGCAGCCGCGGUAAUACGUAGGGGGCGAGCGUUGUCCGGAAUUACUGGGCGUAAAGGGUGCGUAGGUGGCCUUUUAAGUUGGAUGUGAAAUACCCGGGCUUAACUUGGGGGGUGCAUCUAAUACUGGAGGGCUAGAGUGCAGGAGAGGGAAGCGGAAUUCCUAGUGUAGCGGUGAAAUGCGUAGAUAUUAGGAGGAAAACCAGUGGCGAAGGCGGCUUUCUGGACUGUAACUGACACUGAGGCACGAAAGCGUGGGGAGCAAACAGGAUUAGAUACCCCAGUAGUCC